Paramuricea clavata is the source of this 117-nucleotide non-coding RNA. NCBI's taxonomy places the organism in Eukaryota, Metazoa, Cnidaria, Anthozoa, Malacalcyonacea, Plexauridae. The record is from the annotation of a GenBank genome assembly.
CACACAACUGCUUGUUCCUAUGCAUAAAUUUUUAACUAAUUUUUGGGAUUGGAUUUAUUCAAAUUUGAGAUGAUUUUGAUUAAAAAUUUAUGCAUGGGAACAAGCAGUUGUGCCAAU